CACCGGCGGCUCGAGUGGUGGCCACUUGUAUUGGGUCUAAAGCGUCCGGAGCCGGCUUGGCAAGUCCCCUGGGAAAUCUGGCGGCUUAACCGUCAGGCGUCCAGAGGAUAAUGCCAGGCUUAGGACCGGGAGAGGUGAGAGGUACCUCAGGGGUAGGGGUGAAAUCUUGUGAUCCCUGAGGGACCACCAGUGGCGAAGGCGUCUCACUAGAACGGGUCCGACGGUCAGGGACGAAAGCUGGGGGCACGAACCGG
This 254-nucleotide ribosomal RNA is filed under the name uncultured microorganism. RNAcentral's name for it is "partial 16S ribosomal RNA". It matches the Rfam family "Archaeal small subunit ribosomal RNA", at positions 474 to 727 of the family's 1478-position model. The record is from RNAcentral.